UACGAAGGGGGCGAGCGUUGUUCGGAAUUACUGGGCGUAAAGCGUGUGUAGGCGGUUUGAUAAGUUUGAUGUGAAAGCCCAGGGCUCAACCUUGGAACUGCAUUGAAUACUAUCUGACUAGAGUGGUGGAGAGGAGAGCAGAAUUCCCAGUGUAGAGGUGAAAUUCGUAGAGAUUGGGAGGAAUACCAGUGGCGCAGGCGGCUCUCUGGACACACACUGACGCUGAGACACGAUAGCGUGGGGAGCAAACAGGAUUAGAAACCCCGGUAGU
RNAcentral lists this ribosomal RNA (271 nucleotides) under uncultured bacterium. Its description in RNAcentral is "partial 16S ribosomal RNA". It matches the Rfam family "Bacterial small subunit ribosomal RNA", at positions 524 to 794 of the family's 1533-position model. The record is from RNAcentral.